GAUGAAGAACGUAGCGAAAUGCGAUAAGUAAUGUGAAUUGCAGAAUUCAGUGAAUCAUCGAAUCUUUGAACGCACAUUGCGCCCGCCAGUAUUCUGGCGGGCAUGCCUGUCCGAGCGUCAUUUCUGCCCUCAAGCACGGCUUGUGUGUUGGGUGUGGUCCCCCCGGGGACCUGCCCGAAAGGCAGCGGCGACGUCCGUCUGGUCCUCGAGCGUAUAGGGCUCUGUCACUCGCUCGGGAAGGACCUGCGGGGGUUGGUCACCACUAUAUUUUACCACGGUUGACCUCGGAUCAGGUAGGAGUUACCCGCUGAACUUAAGCAUAUCAAUAAGCGGAGGA
Molecule: unclassified non-coding RNA, 337 nt
Filed under: soil metagenome
Description: partial contains 5.8S ribosomal RNA, internal transcribed spacer 2, and large subunit ribosomal RNA
Rfam family: 5.8S ribosomal RNA (bases 1-120)
Source: RNAcentral